RNAcentral lists this ribosomal RNA (501 nucleotides) under uncultured Staphylococcus sp. Its description in RNAcentral is "partial 16S ribosomal RNA". Lineage: Bacteria; Bacillati; Bacillota; Bacilli; Caryophanales; Staphylococcaceae. The record is from RNAcentral.
CACGUAGUUAGCCGCGGCUUUCUGAUUAGGUACCGUCAAGACGUGCAUAGUUACUUACACAUUUGUUCUUCCCUAAUAACAGAGUUUUACGAUCCGAAGACCUUCAUCACUCACGCGGCGUUGCUCCGUCAGGCUUUCGCCCAUUGCGGAAGAUUCCCUACUGCUGCCUCCCGUAGGAGUCUGGACCGUGUCUCAGUUCCAGUGUGGCCGAUCACCCUCUCAGGUCGGCUACGCAUCGUUGCCUUGGUAAGCCGUUACCUUACCAACUAGCUAAUGCGGCGCGGAUCCAUCUAUAAGUGACAGCAAAACCGUCUUUCACUAUUGAACCAUGCGGUUCAAUAUAUUAUCCGGUAUUAGCUCCGGUUUCCCGAAGUUACUCCCAGUCUUAUAGGUAGGUUAUCCACGUGUUACUCACCCGUUCCGCCGCUAACGUCAGAGGAGCAAGCUCCUCGUCUGUUCGCUCGACUUGCAUGUAUGGCACGCCGCAGCGUUCAUCCUGAC